Molecule: unclassified non-coding RNA, 241 nt
Filed under: plant metagenome
Description: partial contains small subunit ribosomal RNA, internal transcribed spacer 1, and 5.8S ribosomal RNA
Source: RNAcentral
UUUCCGUAGGUGAGCCUGCGGAAGGAUCAUUCACAAUCAGUGUUUUAUGUCACUUUUUACACAAUCCAUUUCCACCUUGUGUGCAACGUUAUGAGACCCUCGAUCGUUCUCUUUUAGGUUACGGAAGGGGGAACCUCUACACCUUACCAACAUCACCUUUAACUUAUUUGUAUGAACAUUUGUUAUCACGCAUUAACUUAAAUCGAAAAUACAACUUUCAACAACGGAUCUCUUGGCUCUC